GUGCUCGCUUGGCAGCACAUAUACCAAAAUUGGAACGAUACAGAAAGGAUUAGCAUAGCCCCUGCACAAGAAGACAUGCAAAUUUGUGAAGCAUUCCAUAUUUUU
Camelus dromedarius (Arabian camel) is the source of this 105-nucleotide small nuclear RNA. Lineage: Eukaryota; Metazoa; Chordata; Mammalia; Artiodactyla; Camelidae. The record is from Ensembl.